RNAcentral lists this ribosomal RNA (450 nucleotides) under uncultured bacterium. RNAcentral's name for it is "partial 16S ribosomal RNA". It matches the Rfam family "Bacterial small subunit ribosomal RNA", at positions 338 to 795 of the family's 1533-position model. The record is from RNAcentral.
CCUACGGGGGGCUGCAGUAAGGAAUAUUGGUCAAUGGACGCAAGUCUGAACCAGCCAUGCCGCGUGGAGGAUGAAGGUCCUCUGGAUUGUAAACUUCUUUUAUUUGGGAAGAAACUCCCGAUUUCCAUCGGGAUUGACGGUACCAGAUGAAUAAGCACCGGCUAACUCCGUGCCAGCAGCCGCGGUAAUACGGAGGGUGCCAGCGUUAUCCGGAUUAACUGGGGUGAAAGGGUGCGGAGGUGUGAGGGGUGAAAUCUCCGGGCUUAACCCGGAAACUGCCAUUGAUACUAGUUGGCUUGAAUACUGUGGAGGUGAGCGGAAUAUGUCAUGUAGCGGUGAAAUGCUUAGAUAUGACAUAGAACACCCAUUGCGAAGGCAGCUCACUACGGAAAUAUUGACGCUGAGGCACGAAAGCGUGGGGAUCAAACAGGAUUAGAUACCCGUGUAGUC